RNAcentral lists this ribosomal RNA (498 nucleotides) under uncultured bacterium. Its description in RNAcentral is "partial 16S ribosomal RNA". It matches the Rfam family "Bacterial small subunit ribosomal RNA", at positions 30 to 523 of the family's 1533-position model. The record is from RNAcentral.
AUUGAACGCUGGCGGCAUGCCUUACACAUGCAAGUCGAACGGCAGCACGGGGCAACCUGGUGGCGAGUGGCGAACGGGUGAGUAAUGCAUCGGAACGUACCUUUCAGUGGGGGAUAACGUAGCGAAAGUUACGCUAAUACCGCAUAUUCUGUGAGCAGGAAAGCAGGGGAUCGCAAGACCUUGCGCUGAUUGAGCGGCCGAUGUCAGAUUAGCUAGUUGGUGAGGUAAAGGCUCACCAAGGCGACGAUCUGUAGCGGGUCUGAGAGGAUGAUCCGCCACACUGGAACUGAGACACGGUCCAGACUCCUACGGGAGGCAGCAGUGGGGAAUUUUGGACAAUGGGGGCAACCCUGAUCCAGCAAUGCCGCGUGUGUGAAGAAGGCCUGCGGGUUGUAAAGCACUUUCAAGCGGGAAGAAAAGGGAAUGGUGAAUAGUCAUUCUCCUUGACGUUACUGAUACAAGAAGCACCGGCUAACUCCGUGCCAGCCGCCGCAGUAA